Molecule: ribosomal RNA, 524 nt
Filed under: Salmonella enterica
Lineage: Bacteria; Pseudomonadati; Pseudomonadota; Gammaproteobacteria; Enterobacterales; Enterobacteriaceae
Description: bacterial SSU rRNA
Rfam family: Bacterial small subunit ribosomal RNA
Source: RNAcentral
AAAUUGAAGAGUUUGAUCAUGGCUCAGAUUGAACGCUGGCGGCAGGCCUAACACAUGCAAGUCGAACGGUAACAGAAAGCAGCUUGCUGCUUUGCUGACGAGUGGCGGACGGGUGAGUAAUGUCUGGGAAACUGCCUGAUGGAGGGGGAUAACUACUGGAAACGGUGGCUAAUACCGCAUAACGUCGCAAGACCAAAGAGGGGGACCUUCGGGCCUCUUGCCAUCAGAUGUGCCCAGAUGGGAUUAGCUAGUUGGUGAGGUAACGGCUCACCAAGGCGACGAUCCCUAGCUGGUCUGAGAGGAUGACCAGCCACACUGGAACUGAGACACGGUCCAGACUCCUACGGGAGGCAGCAGUGGGGAAUAUUGCACAAUGGGCGCAAGCCUGAUGCAGCCAUGCCGCGUGUAUGAAGAAGGCCUUCGGGUUGUAAAGUACUUUCAGCGGGGAGGAAGGUGUUGUGGUUAAUAACCGCAGCAAUUGACGUUACCCGCAGAAGAAGCACCGGCUAACUCCGUGCCAGCAG